This is a long non-coding RNA of Cephus cinctus (wheat stem sawfly), 2753 nucleotides long. RefSeq lists it as uncharacterized. The transcript is spliced from 8 exons. NCBI's taxonomy places the organism in Eukaryota, Metazoa, Arthropoda, Insecta, Hymenoptera, Cephidae. The record is from RefSeq and is a predicted model, not a curated record.
UGCUACAUUCACGUCGAGCGCCGGAAAAUCGUGCGAAGUGCCAGCUUGAAAAGAUUUCAGUGGGUUGAAAAUAAUGGCAUGAUACCGUGAAAUCAGCAUAAUGACACUGUGAAUGAUAUCAAUUAGUACGUUCACUUAUUGACGAAAUUCAUCUGCAGUGGAUAAAAACUGAAUCCCACUGUUAAAACGUGUUUGACUACUUAGUAACGUGACAGUUCGGAACGGAAUACGUCAGCUGAGCAUUGGGCGCUUGGAUAAAAAUCAGGUAGAGGCAGACACUUUACCGUCGCUCGUAAAUAUAACAUAAAAUUACAGAGGAGUAUAGACUGUUGAGCAAGAAUUAUGGUAUUCGUGAAAAAUGAUUGAAUAACCAGAAGUGUGAUACGCGUGGGAAGAAAAUAAGGAUUGCUUGCGGUUCGUUCAUCCCACCGUUAUUCCCAGGAUCUCAAAGGGGGCGUUUCAUUGGUCGACACGACGUAAGAAGAGACGAGAUUGGCCGGUACUGUGUUAAUAGUAUCACCUAACCGAAUAACGAGCCUAUCCGAACAGAAGGAAGUAAAAGGUUCAAAGAUUUUUCGAGGGUUUAGUUUGGCUGGGCGUACGCGCUUUUUGAAUGGUUCUCUCUGUAUCACGAGGAUGGAACUGGGUGUAAAUCGAAUGAAACAAUGGAUGAAUUCUUCUUUUUACUGUCCUCAAUGCCGCUUAUCUGGCAGACACGUUAUUAAGCGUCGAUAUGCUGCAGCACGAGUGUCCAAUUAUGUAAACGACCACCAGGUGAUUUUACCUGGAGUCUUCGUAGCAGAGCUGAUUGAUUAUACCAGAGGUAUAAUCUGUAAUUUUCAAUUAAUUUUCUUGAAUUUUCAUGAGAGCGUUCCUGGACAAGGUAAUAAGGCUCCCAUGCCAUCCCCUAGGGUCUAACGAUACAUUUUGUCAAACCAACGAAGCCCUGAGUGACACGUGGCGGCGCGUGGCAAUAAAAUCGCCACGUCCCAUUUUGGCAAUUUCACCUUUUAUUUAAUUAGCCUUAUUAGACUAACCUAAAGCGAAUCGCUCUGUGCAUUUAAUUUAAUUCAAGCCAAAGCCAACGCACCGCAUUUCAUCCCCCUGCAGUAAGUUACAAUGAAGAUCUACUUAUAAUGAAGAUAUCAUGAAGUCUGUAAAUGCUGAGUUGCGAAGGAAAAAUUUUAAUUAACCAGUCCUACCAGCAGCGAAGGACAAGGGAGAGCAGGGAUUGAAGAGAAAGAGAAGUCUGGUGAAAAUAGUUGCAGGGGUUGUGCGUAUAUAAAUGUAGAAACCCCCGAAGCGUGGAAUAGUACUCCAGGAUGGCAUCAAGUUCCAUUGACGCAUACACUAGCUCGCAAACAGAUUCCCAGAACGUACAAAAGGCCUAUGUAUACUUGACUGGUGACCCAUGACACAAUAAAUAGGGUGAGAACCCCUGGGAUUGGGAGCAUGGGAAAAGUUGACGUUGUGUUUGUACUAGAGAUCUACCAGGCGAAUAAUGUAAUGCAGACAGCUCUAUUGAAACGUAUCUAAUAUAUCUGUCACCGUAUCGCAGCCUUUAUUUGGUCAAGCCUAAGGCAAGGACUUGAUUAAAUUAUCGAACGGAGUAUUAACACCAGAAAGAGGUAUCUACAUUAGAAAUCUAUUAGAGACUCCGAAACGCUUUUGACCAAGAUCUCGAAAUCUUUUCUUUACCUCCAACCCCGUCUAUGAGUGAACGAGUGCCCCGCACUUUCGACACUUGUCGGUAAAACUUCAACGGUCUUUACUGCGAUUUCACUCAAGAGGGUCUCAUUUCUCGUUAAGCCGCGGACAAUGCAGCAAAUGAACCGAAUUUGCAAAACUCUGAAUCCCACUGGCGCGUCUUUCAAUGGUCUUAGUGGCCGCGGUACCUAGGCGUUAGAACUAACACCAUUCAAGGUGUCAAGAUGAAGAGGUUGAGACCUCAGCAGGUACUCGAAAGAUCCCUGAGGAGUUCAUUAUGAAUACCUGGACGGCGGUGCUAUUUGUGGACAUAUUUUUUUUCCUUUUUUUCUUUAAAAGUAUCUCCUUAUACUUACUGUAAUACAGACUGGCAUUAGAAACCGAUAGAAAAUAUAGGUAAUAGGUACGAGUUAAGAUAAGCUAUAGAUACUGUGAAAGAAUCUUUUUUGUUUCUUUUCAACAUUUUUUUUUUUAGGUACAUGUAAAACGUUAGAUAAGGGAUAAAAAUGAGCGGUAGGAAGGUGAAAAAGAAUUUUACAAAGUAAUUAUAUAAUUUUUGGAUUAUUUGGUUUCGUGUCACUUUGUGAUUUACUUGUUUAGAGUUGGUAAUUUUUUAAAAUGGUUUUUAUUAUAUAAGUCAAUUACUAUUUGGUAUACAGGGUACAGUACACUGACGUCAUAGUACAAGUAUCGCUACAAGAAUACAGGGCCAUCUGUGAAUUUUUGUCGACAAUGAUUUCAGCCGAUGAGCCUGACUGGUCUAUUGUACAUGAAUUCAGCCCCCUCCCAUAGGGGUGGAAAAACGCUUUCAAAUGAUUCGGUAACGAUUUAAAUUGUCCUGACAAUCGUCAAUCCCUUCUGUCAUAUGAGUGGAUCUUUACGCUAUUCAAGUAUCUCAUUACGUCAUAUCAAUAGAUUACAUAUGAAGGAUUAUCAGGUAUAAAAGAAAAUACACUAGAUAAUUUUACCAAUGACUCCGUUAAAUCAUCAAUCGAUUUCCCCCACAGUGUCUGACAAGAUAAAAAUUCAAAAAAUAAAUAUUUUCC